Molecule: ribosomal RNA, 402 nt
Filed under: uncultured bacterium
Lineage: Bacteria
Description: bacterial SSU rRNA
Rfam family: Bacterial small subunit ribosomal RNA
Source: RNAcentral
UCGGGAAUUUUGGGCAAUGGGCGAAAGCCUGACCCAGCAACGCCGCGUGAGGGAUGAAGUAUUUCGGUAUGUAAACCUCGAAAGAAUGGGAAGAAUAAAUGACGGUACCAUUUAUAAGCUCCGGCUAACUACGUGCCAGCAGCCACGGUAAUACGUAGGGAGCAAGCGUUGUUCGGAUUUACUGGGCGUAAAGGGCGCGUAGGCGGCGCGGUAAGUCACUUGUGAAAUCUCUGAGCUUAACUCAGAACGGCCAAGUGAUACUGCUGUGCUAGAGUGCGGAAGAGGCAACCGGAAUUCUUGGUGUAGCGGUGAAAUGCGUAGAUAUCAAGAGGAACACCUGAGGCGAAGGCGGGUUGCUGGGCCGACACUGACGCUGAUGCGCGAAAGCCAGGGGAGCAAACG